AGUCGUGCGAGGGUUUUCGGACCCUAGCGGCGGACGGGUGAGUAACACGUAGGCAACCUGCCUCUCAGACCGGGAUAACAUAGGGAAACUUAUGUAAUACCGGAUAGGUUUUUGGAUUGCAUGAUCCGAAAAGAAAAGAUGGCUUCGGCUAUCACUGGGAGAUGGGCCUGCGGCGCAUUAGCUAGUUGGUGGGGUAACGGCCUACCAAGGCGACGAUGCGUGCCGACCUGAGAGGGUGACCGACCACACUGGGACUGAGACACGGCCCAACUCCUACGGGAGGCAGCAGUAGGGAAUUUUCCACAAUGGACGAAAGUCUGAUGGAGCAACGCCGCGUGAACGAUGAAGUCUUCGGAUUGUAAAGUUCUGUUGUCAGGGACGAACACGUGCCGUUCGAAUAGGGCGGUACCUUGACGGUACCUGACGAGAAAGCCACGGCUAACUACGUGCCAGCAGCCGCGGUAAUACGUAGGUGCAAGCGUUGUCCGGAUUUAUUGGGCGUAAAGCGCGCGCAGGCGGCUAUGUAAGUCUGGUGUUAAAGCCCGGAGCUCAACUCCGGUUCGCAUCGGAAACUGUGUAGCUUGAGUGCAGAAGAGGAAAGCGUAUUCCACGUGUAGCGGUGAAAUGCGUAGAGAUGUGGAGGAACACCAGUGGCGAAGGCGGCUUUCUGGUCUGUAACUGACGCUGAGGCGCGAAAGCGUGGGGAGCAAACAGGAUUAGAUACCCUGGAGUCCACGCCGUAAACGAUGAGUGCUAGGUGUUGGGGGUUUCGAUACCCUCAGUGCCGCAGCUAACGCAAUAGGCACUCCGCCUGGGGAGUACGCUCGCAAGAGUGAAACUCAAAGGAAUUGGCGGGGCCCGCACAAGCGGUGGAGCAUGUGGAGUAAUUCGAAGCAACGCGAAGAACCUUACCAGGUCUUGACAGCACGCUGACGGCUCUGGAGACAGAGCAGGAGGAAGGGGCAGCGGUGACAGGUGGUGCAGGUUGUCGUCAGCUCGUGUCGUGAGAUGUUGGGUUAAGUCCCGCAACGAGCGCAACCCUUAUCUUUAGUUGCCAGCAUUCAGUUGGGCACUCUAGAGAGACUGCCGUCGACAAGACGGAGGAAGGCGGGAUGACGUCAAAUCAUCAUGCCCCUUAUGACCUGGGCUACACACGUGCUACAAUGGUUGGUACAACGGGAUGCUACCUCGCGAGGGGACGCCAAUCUCUGAAAACCAAUCUCAGUUCGGAUUGUAGCUGCAACUCGCCUACAUGAAGUCGGAAUCGCUAGUAAUCGCGGAUCAGCAUGCCGCGGUGAAUACGUUCCCGGGCCUUGUACACACCGCCCGUCACACCACGGGAGUUUGCAACACCCGAAGUCGGUAGCUAACCGCAGGGAACCAGCCGCCG
RNAcentral lists this ribosomal RNA (1390 nucleotides) under Brevibacillus sp. SVUNM15. Its description in RNAcentral is "16S ribosomal RNA". It matches the Rfam family "Bacterial small subunit ribosomal RNA". Lineage: Bacteria; Bacillati; Bacillota; Bacilli; Caryophanales; Paenibacillaceae. The record is from RNAcentral.